Molecule: ribosomal RNA, 440 nt
Filed under: uncultured bacterium
Lineage: Bacteria
Description: partial 16S ribosomal RNA
Rfam family: Bacterial small subunit ribosomal RNA
Source: RNAcentral
CCUACGGGAGGCAGCAGUGGGGAAUAUUGCACAAUGGGGGAAACCCUGAUGCAGCGACGCCGCGUGAGUGAAGAAGUAAUUCGUUAUGUAAAGCUCUAUCAGCAGGGAAGAAAAUGACGGUACCUGAGUAAGAAGCCCCGGCUAAAUACGUGCCAGCAGCCGCGGUAAUACGUAGGGGGCAAGCGUUAUCCGGAUUUACUGGGUGGAAAGGGAGCGUAGACGGCAGUGCAAGGCUGGAGGGAAAGGCGGGGGCUCAACCCCCGGACUGCUCUGGAAACUGUACGGCUGGAGUGCAGGAGAGGUGAGUGGAAUUCCUAGUGUAGCGGUGAAAUGCGUAGAUAUUAGGAGGAACACCAGUGGCGAAGGCGGCUUACUGGACUGUAACUGACGUUGAGGCUCGAAAGCGUGGGGAGCAAACAGGAUUAGAUACCCUAGUAGUC